This 300-nucleotide ribosomal RNA is filed under the name uncultured Natronorubrum sp. RNAcentral's name for it is "bacterial SSU rRNA". It matches the Rfam family "Bacterial small subunit ribosomal RNA", at positions 496 to 795 of the family's 1533-position model. The record is from RNAcentral. Lineage: Archaea; Methanobacteriati; Methanobacteriota; Halobacteria; Halobacteriales; Natrialbaceae.
GUCAGCGUCGGGCGAGUGGCGGAGGGAAUACGAAGGGGGCGAGCGUGGGUCGGAAUGACUGGGCGGAAAGGUGAUGUAGGCGGGGCGUUGAGUCGGUGGUGAAAGCCCAGAGCUCAACUUUGGAAGUGCCUUCGAUACUGGCGGCCUGGAGCAUGGUAGAGGGGGGUGGAAUUGCGAGUGUAGAGGUGAAAUUCGUAGAUAUUCGCAGGAACACCAGUGGCGAAGGCGACUCGCUGGAUCAUUGCUGACGCUGAGAUGCGAAAGCGUGGGGAGCAAACAGGAUUAGAUACCCCAGUAGUC